AUCAAGGAGGACUUUUUCCACGGAUAUGUUGCGAUGAAUCAUGGAAGGUUUGUCUGCUUCGGUGCUGUGCAGAUAUCCUAGUCCUUUUGCAAUCCCCUUGAUGAUUGAAACUCUUUUGGACCAGUCUAGAACAUGGUUGCUGUUUACUUCAACAUCAAGAUACUGAGAGAGGUUCCCUUUAGAGGCGAAAUCAUAGAUUAAAAAGCACUCACCCCUUCCCUUUGAACAACAGAAACCUCUUAGCUUGACAAGGUUUUCAUGCUUAAGGGAGGUU
RNAcentral lists this unclassified non-coding RNA (274 nucleotides) under Hevea brasiliensis (rubber tree). The record is from RNAcentral. Lineage: Eukaryota; Viridiplantae; Streptophyta; Magnoliopsida; Malpighiales; Euphorbiaceae.